GACGUAGGGUCCGAGCGCUGUCCGGAGUUACUGGGCGUAAAGGGCGCGUAGGCGGCUUUGUGCGUCACACGUGAAAGCCCCUGGCUUAACCAGGGAGGGUCGUGUGAAACGGCGAAGCUGGAGGCAGAGAGAGGCUGGUGGAAUUCCCGGAGUAGUGGUGAAAUGCGUAGAUAUCGGGAGGAACACCGGUGGCGAAGGCGGCCAGCUGGCUCUGACCUGACGCUGAGGCGCGAAGGCGUGGGGAGCGAACGGG
Molecule: ribosomal RNA, 253 nt
Filed under: uncultured bacterium
Lineage: Bacteria
Description: partial 16S ribosomal RNA
Rfam family: Bacterial small subunit ribosomal RNA
Source: RNAcentral